This is a non-coding RNA of Potamilus streckersoni, 74 nucleotides long. NCBI's taxonomy places the organism in Eukaryota, Metazoa, Mollusca, Bivalvia, Unionida, Unionidae. The record is from the annotation of a GenBank genome assembly.
GACUCCGGUAGCCUAGUGGCUAGAGCGUCCGCCUCGGAUGCGGGAGGUCAUAGGUUCUAUCACCUGCCGAGUCA